RNAcentral lists this ribosomal RNA (984 nucleotides) under uncultured Bacteroides sp. Its description in RNAcentral is "bacterial SSU rRNA". It matches the Rfam family "Bacterial small subunit ribosomal RNA", at positions 505 to 1501 of the family's 1533-position model. Lineage: Bacteria; Pseudomonadati; Bacteroidota; Bacteroidia; Bacteroidales; Bacteroidaceae. The record is from RNAcentral.
GUGUCAGCCGCCGCGGUAAUACGGAGGAUCCAAGCGUUAUCCGGAUUUAUUGGGUUUAAAGGGAGCGUAGGUUGACAUAUAAGUCAGCUGUGAAAGUUUGCGGCUCAACCGUGAAAUUGCAGUUGAUACUGUAUGUCUUGAGUGUACAAGAGGUGGGCGGAAUUCGUGGUGUAGCGGUGAAAUGCUUAGAUAUCACGAAGAACUCCAAUUGCGAAGGCAGCUCACUGGGGUACAACUGACACUGAGGCUCGAAAGUGUGGGUAUCAAACAGGAUUAGAUACCCUGGUAGUCCACACAGUAAACGAUGAAUACUCGCUGUUUGCGAUAUACAGUAAGCGGCCAAGCGAAAGCAUUAAGUAUUCCACCUGGGGAGUACGCCGGCAACGGUGAAACUCAAAGGAAUUGACGGGGGCCCGCACAAGCGGAGGAACAUGUGGUUUAAUUCGAUGAUACGCGAGGAACCUUACCCGGGUUUGAACGUAGGGAGACAGGAGUGGAAACAUUCUUUUCAGCAAUGACUGCCUACGAGGUGCUGCAUGGUUGUCGUCAGCUCGUGCCGUGAGGUGUCGGCUUAAGUGCCAUAACGAGCGCAACCCUUAUUUCCAGUUACUAACAGGUGAUGCUGAGGACUCUGGAGAGACUGCCAGCGUAAGCUGUGAGGAAGGUGGGGAUGACGUCAAAUCAGCACGGCCCUUACAUCCGGGGCGACACACGUGUUACAAUGGUAAGGACAAAGGGCAGCUACCGGGCGACCGGAUGCGAAUCUCUAAACCUUAUCUCAGUUCGGAUCGGAGUCUGCAACUCGACUCCGUGAAGCUGGAUUCGCUAGUAAUCGCGCAUCAGCCAUGGCGCGGUGAAUACGUUCCCGGGCCUUGUACACACCGCCCGUCAAGCCAUGGGAGCCGGGGGUACCUGAAGUUCGUAACCGCAAGGAUCGACCUAGGGUAAAACUGGUGACUGGGGCUAAGUCGUAACAAGGUAACC